RNAcentral lists this ribosomal RNA (253 nucleotides) under uncultured bacterium. RNAcentral's name for it is "partial 16S ribosomal RNA". It matches the Rfam family "Bacterial small subunit ribosomal RNA", at positions 524 to 776 of the family's 1533-position model. The record is from RNAcentral.
UACGUAGGGGGCAAGCGUUGUCCGGAAUCAUUGGGCGUAAAGCGCGUGUAGGCGGUCCGAUAAGUCGGUUGUGAAAGUCAAGGGCUCAACCCUUGAAUGCCGACCGAUACUGUCGGGCUAGAGUCCGGAAGAGGCGAGUGGAAUUCCUGGUGUAGCGGUGAAAUGCGCAGAUAUCAGGAGGAACACCAAUGGCGAAGGCAGCUCGCUGGGACGGUACUGACGCUGAGACGCGAAAGCGUGGGGAGCAAACAGG